AUACGGAGGAUGCGAGCGUUAUCCGGAUUUAUUGGGUUUAAAGGGAGCGUAGGUGGGAUAUUAAGUCAGCUGUGAAAGUUUGGGGCUCAACCUUAAAAUUGCAGUUGAUACUGGUUUCCUUGAGUACGGUACAGGUGGGCGGAAUUCGUGGUGUAGCGGUGAAAUGCUUAGAUAUCACGAAGAACUCCGAUCGCGUAGGCAGCUCACCGGGCCGGAACUGACACUGAUGCUCGAAAGUGCGGGUAUCAAACAGGAUUAGAUACCCUGGUAGUCCGCACAGUAAACGAUGAAUACUCGCUGUUUGCGAUACACUGUAAGCGGCCAAGCGAAAGCGUUAAGUAUUCCACCUGGGGAGUACGCCGGCAACGGUGAAACUCAAAUGAAUUGACGGGG
Molecule: ribosomal RNA, 393 nt
Filed under: uncultured bacterium
Lineage: Bacteria
Description: partial 16S ribosomal RNA
Rfam family: Bacterial small subunit ribosomal RNA
Source: RNAcentral